Phoenix dactylifera (date palm) is the source of this 5775-nucleotide non-coding RNA. NCBI's taxonomy places the organism in Eukaryota, Viridiplantae, Streptophyta, Magnoliopsida, Arecales, Arecaceae. The record is from RefSeq and is a predicted model, not a curated record.
AAUUUUUUCUGAGGAACAAAACAAAUUCUUAGCAAUUAGCAUAGCCCUUAAAAAAUAUCAAGAAUAAGGCCAUUCUCUGCACGUCCACUGUGUACCAACUCAUAUCAUAUUUUCGUUCGGCACGGAACCAUGGUUCUAUUGGUUCCCGCCUUGGAGCAUGCAUCCAAGAAUUUGAAUGCGGCCAUCUUGGCCCCGAGAAGCAUCGCAACGUGGCCGGGAAAGGGAAAAGAAGUGCUAAAAGAGGGAAAAAAUUAGGAAAAGAGAGAGAAAAGAAUGGAUCCCACUCCAUACCGGGUAUCUGUUCUCUACCUUCUGAAUUCUCCUGAGCCGGCACGGCGACAUCGAAAAAUCUAUGCUGCGCCCGUCUUCUCUUCCACCAAACCCCCAAAGAUAUAAAGCAAAGAAAGACAGCGACGACAGCGACGACGCCGACGACACGGACGCCUUUCUAGGGUUUUUCUAGGGUUUCCCCUUCGACUUGGGCGAUUCCAGCGGGGAGCCCAGCCCAAUGGAUUCUUGAGCCUCCCCGCCUCGUUUCUAGGGCUUCCGAGGGCGCGGCGGGAGGAGGACGACGAGGAGGAGAUCGGAGAUGCAGAAGAAGGCGUGGAUAAGGGCGGGGGACAGAGGGGCCCUCGCAACCGGCCACUGUGCCGUCGUCGAGGGCCGGAUCCUGCGGUGCUCGUCCGCGCACCCCGACCAGCAGAAACGCCAGCAGGGGGCUACAGCACCAGCCGCAGAUCGGGACGGUGGCGCACCUUCUGGCUGGACGCGUUGCCGGAACGGUCAGCAAGACCUGCACGGCCCCACUAGCUUGCCUUACGAUUCUAUUUCAGGAUCACUGUCUAAUUGUAAAUCCCAGCAACCUAAAGUGGCAAUCAGGCGGGAGUCUGAGACUUGAAGGUGCAUAAUUAAUUGGAUCCAAGAGUAACUGUGCUUCUUAAUUUAAGGAAACCGAUUGGUGGCUAUCAGCGAAUAAGGAAGAUGAAAGGGUUUUGGAUUCUGUGCAAUAAAAUUACAGCGAGGUAGACGGUGUAUGGAAAACCAUUCAAAACCCUGACUCGUAUGUAGAGGCUCCUAGGUGAUCACUUUAUAAGAAGAAAAAAAUAUUCAUAUCUCGGAUCAGUGGGUAGCUAUUCAUGCCAGGUUUACUUCUACCUUGUUGUUCAUUUAUUAGAUAUAUAUUAAUAUUCUGUUGAUGUUCAUUACUUUCAUAUUAAUCAAAUUUGAGAAGAUAUUGGCAAGCACUUCUCUGAGUAUGGGCCAGAAUUUUUAUUAUGCAGCUUUGACCACCUAUUGUAGCUUCUUCAUCCAAAAUGUCGUGAGUAGUCAGCAAAGUGAAAGUAUAUUUAUAGAUGGAUGUUGUGUCACUCACUAAUUGAGAGUGAUGCUAGUUCCUAAGUUUCCCGUAUGAUAAAUAUCAAGGAACAUGGUUUAGGCUCCUUUGAGUUAGUAUUUAGAGGGUUUAGGGCUAAUCUUUUCAAGAAAAGACAUUAUGUUUUUCUCUGAAAUAAAAUGUCGAAGAGCAUCUGCAUGUUUAGGCACACAGCUCUCUCUGUGUCUAGAUCAUGUGAGACGUAAUCCUUAACAAGGUCAAUAAUGCAUUUUGCUAAACUAUGAGUUUCUUUUUUCCCCCUUUCUGAGCAUACUUGACCUGGGCUGAGUGUUUGGUUGCAAUUUUUAAACUUUGAAACGCUUGCUUUCUUUCUCUUUUCAUUUUUUUUUCUUGUCCUACAACUUUAUUUUGGUGGGAUGGUAGGAAGCUUCCGUGGUCUCAGAGUCUGUUACCUUCUCAGAGACAUCAUGUAGUGGAUAUCAAAUUGAAAUUGAGUCCAAGAAUUUAAUAAUUAUGUACGUCACCUAUCCCCAUUAGGAUUCCGUGAGUAUAUAUCGUAUUGUACCAAUGUAGUGUUCUUUUUAGUGUAAGACUUAUUAUGGUGGUGGCUAAGACUUAACUGUAAGUUGACUGUUUGUCUAUGCUAGCCAGAUUCUUUAGUGUAGCCUAUAGUAUGUGAAACUUAGACAUUGACAUUGGCAUGAUACUGGGACAAGGACUUGUAAUAUAAAAUUCUUAGAUAUUGAAAGGAUUUGAAUGUUAGAAUCUAUGUAAUAGUGAAAUUGAUCAUAAGUACCUCAUGUGAUGAUUUUUUUCCCCACAGGAGUCUUGGUUUAAGGCUUUUCAGUUGCUGCUAAACUGGGAACAUUCUAUUCUCUGAGGUGGUCAGGCCACUUUUUCUUCCUUAUUUUCUUCACUUUCCUACUGUUUCUUCCUUAUUUCUUCACUUUUCUGUCCAUUCUUCUACCAUUAUUUGUCCAUAUGGUUGGUGUCACGGAGAGGAUCCGUCUUUCUGGCUUCCAUUAUACACGUCUUCUCUUAAUUCAUCAACUAGUUUGAUGGUAUCAUAUUUCUUUAGGUGCAAGGCAUGCAUUCCGAUGUCACAGCUCUAAGCAAGGCUGGCAUAUGUAAGGAGGCUUCACACAUUGUUUACAAAGAAGGGUUUAGAGCAUUUUGGAAAGGAAAUUUGGUCACUAUUGCUCAUCAGCUACCAUAUUCCUUGAUAAGCUUCUAUGCUUAUGAAUGCUACAAACAUGUACAACAGCUGCAUCUAUCACAUAACAAUUGGACCUCGUGAGGAUGCAUCUUGCAGCUCUGGUGAUUGGACCAUUAUUAUGCCACAUCAUGAUUCAUGUAGUAGAAUGCCUGUCUAUUAACCUCAACUUCAGCUGUUGUAUUUGAAAUUUUGAAUUCUUAAUUUUUCCUGUCUAAGUUGUAUUUAAGAGAGAAGAUUUGCAUGAUGGCCUCUCUCCGAGGCUUCAAAUUCAAGACCUUUUUAGUUAACCAUUCCUAGUAUCUGUCUUUGCAAAAUCUUAAAGAUUAUUUCAUUUUGAAGCAGUCUGUUUGCUAAUGUGCUUAUGCUCUUUUCCAUAAGAAUUUGUAGUGUAGAUAUUACUUGGCCCUGAUAAUAAUUGUCCAACCAUUGAAGUAGCCGCCAUAUGGACAAACUAUUCUGAGAGCUGCAGUUUUACUAUAGUUGUUAGUUUUCCUUUGUUACCUUCAUGGAGCAGUUACAUUCAUAUUGACAUUUUUGACUAUUUGUUCUGCAGAUAGGCUUACAGAAAUGUGUAUUUGUUUGAAUGAUGGAAAUGCCUCGUACAUCGAGUUUUCCAUUUGUUUAAUAAGCUACACUGUAUAUUCUAUAAAUUGUCACAAUUGCUUUACGUGCUUAGGCCCUGUUUGGUAUGAUUUUUCCCUUUUUUUAAAAGAAAAGGAUCAUGGAAAUUGAUGCAGGAAACAUGUUUGGCAACCAUCUUUCUAUUUUUUUAAGAACUUUCAUUUUUUUGAAAAAACUGGAAGUGAGAAAUUUUCACUUCCAUUUUUUUUUGAAGUAUGUUAAUGCCUCCGAACUCCCCUCUUCGUCUCCUUUCCACCCUAAACUCAUCCCGACCCCACCUCCGCCUCGACCCUCCACGCAAAUCCAGCCUAUGGUAAGUCCUCUCUUUUACCUCUCUCUCCCCCCCCUCCCCCUCUCUCUACUUUCCUCUAUUAUGAUCGAGGUCGGGGGCAGAGGAGGGGGAGGCAGCAGAGGGUGGCGGAGGAGGAGGAGGUGGGGGGCAGAGAAGGAGGAGAAGAUGGGGGCAACUAGUGUUAAAAAAAUAGUGAUGCCAACCAUAAUAUGUAUUUUCAGAAAUAUGAAAAAAAUGGAAAUGGAUUUCUUGUUUCCAUUUUUUUUAAGAAAAAAAAAGUGAAAAUGAUGCCAAUUUCAGCCUCAUCUUUUCUCUCUUUUUGUUGAUCAUGUUGGAACUAAGUUCAAUUGAUAGUUUAAAAAUCAUUACUUUGUCUAGGUUACAAUAAUUUGAUGCAUUUCAACAUGUUUGUGUUAUUUUUGAGUCGGCUCUUUUGACAUUUUUUUUUUCCACUUUUCUUUUGACUCUAUAAAUAAGAGCCGCCCAACCAUGUUGAUUGAAUGUUUGAGUACUCAAAGCCUCUCGUGAGUCUGGAUACAAAGUAUCUUCAGUCCUUUCCACAACUUCUAAAUUUCUUUCCCAUCAGCCUAUUCUAUUCAAUCUAAUUCCAGACAGAGUCAGUAGACUUAUUGCUUUUUGAAUUCAUUCUUCUAGCUGUGAAAAUUUUGAUUUUUUGUUUUUGUUCUUGUAAUAACAAAUAUGAUAUUCUGAUGGUUUGACCCCCAGCUAUAUGCAUGACUGAUAGUUGAAGUGGUGGAAACCUUUUGGCUGCAAACUUGCAUGUGCAAUAUCUUUGGUAAUUCAUUCCCAUUGAUUGUGGGUAAUUGUGAUGGAUCAUUCUUUGCCAUUCAUUUGUUUUGUUGUAACAUUUUUAUUCAUUAUAAAUUGCAUAAAAUCCUCUGUUAUAUCUUUACUCUGGUUUCCUUAGGUCUUCCCUUGAUGAAGACUUGAACUCCUAUGAUUUGGGCUUUCUUUUGGUCAUUCCUGCACAUGCUGUCCCAAUUAGUAACAAAAACUAUGUAUUACAGAGGCAUUUCACAUGCACUUUAUGCCAUCUGCAGAGACGAGGGUAUCAGCGGGUUGUAUAAAGGUCUUGGAGGGACUUUGUUGGUAAGCUUUUCAGGUUAAUUCCAAUUGAGGUCAUGAUUCUUAAAACUUUCAUUGUGUUUCCAUUGGCCACUGAUAAAAUGUAGGGUGUUGGACCUAGCAUAGCAAUCAGCCUCUCUGUCUAUGAAACCUUGCGAUCUCAUUGGCAAUUACAAGGGCCACAUGAUUCUGCUGUAUUUGUUAGCUGGGCUUGUGGAAGUCUUUUCAGCAUGGCUUCGUCAACAGUUAUAUUUCCCAUUAGAUCUAGUGAGGCGGCAAAUGCAGUUGCCAGGGGCAGCUGGAGAGGCUUGUGUUCGCAACUCGGGCCUGUUUGGAACGUUUAGGCAUCUAAUCCAUAUGGAAGGAUUUCGAGAAUUGUACAGAGAUAUCUUGCCUGAGCACUAAAUUUGGCAUUAAAUUCACGACUUAUGAGAUGCCGAAGUCAUGCCCCUCUGGUGCACUUUCUGAUGACUAGCACUGAGAUCUUUCAGUAGCACUGCUUUGGCCUCUGCUAUUGAUGAACAUUGUUAUGUUCUUGUUGGAGAUAAAGGUAGAAGAGUUUGUAAAGUCUCAACUGGUGACUUAUGAACAAGUUCGGAGCGAUGAUAGCAUUUUCUGAAAUCAUGGCUGGAAACCUGUGUCAAAAAUGAAAAUAUGUCUGGAAAGCUUUGAUACUGUAGGUAGGUACCCCCUUUGAUAUGCUGAAUAUUGCCAAUUGGGAUAAUCGUUCAGACAAUCUAAUGAAGCUGAUGCUACUGCUUGGAUAUAUUGGAAACACUCUGCUGGUUACGAAUCAGAGGAUUCUUUGUAAUAUUAUUAGCAUUUUAUCUCUUGCCGUUGCGGGUUACCGUUUAGCCUGCUUUGGUACAAAUGCGCUUCAAGACAUAAUAAUUCACUCAGAUGAACAUUUCUCGUGUCCAGUUCUAUCUUUUACCUCUAGUUGCACCCCCAUUUCCUCAAAGUUAUCUUUAGGGAACUGGAGCACGUAAAAGCAGCAUCCUCGUUUUUCUAGUCUAUAGCUCAGAUUGUUUAAAUUUGUAUGAAGCCUCGGCCGUCAAAGAGUUUGCUUGCGUAAGAAUGCGCUAGGAUCUCUGCUAUCUGUCGUGGAAAGCCAUGCACUGGUUCGUUCUUAAUAAAUGCCGUGCACUUUUUCUUCCAUGUAGCAGCCCAUUUGAUCUUGCUUCUGUUUCUUGUUUUUGCUUUAUAAAAUCCAAGAAAAAUAUACUA